CCUGACCGCAAGUGAUCCACCUGCCUCGGCCUCCCAAAGUGCUGGGAUUACAGGCAUGAGCCACUGCACCCAGUGUACUGUACAGAUCUUGAAUGGACAAUUCCUGGAUGUUUCUACUUUCACCUCCAUGUUUAUCUCAGCACUCUCCUUAAAUCACAUCAACCAUUAGGUUCUUACUAGAUGUAAGACACCAGGGUAUGCCUGGUGUUUUAUAAUAUUAGGUGUACAAUUAUAAAAGAUUUAUAAUCUUUAUAAAUUUAUAUUUUGGUAAUUGCACUCUAAGGAAUAGUCAUAUAAAAGGCCCCAAACUGGAGUUAAAUAAUAUUAACUAACGUUUCAGAACUAUUUGCCAAGCACUUUCAUUCAAUCCUCAUAGGACCAAGAAGAAAUACAGGGAAAUUAAAGUGCUCAAUCCAGUGGAUAAGUCACAGAACUUUGGGACUACCCAAGUCCAAUCAUGCAAACCAGGAUGUAGACUCAGAUAAACGUGACAGAAAACAGUACUCACUUGUAUUAGAAAAAAGCUGCACAAAGCCUAAAAAGGAACCUAAAGAGAAUUUGGCAAUCUUACAGUAACGUUCCCAGGAAGAGAGACUGAAUUUCAUAGAAGGAUUUCAGUCGCUAAUUCAGGCCACCACUCUGCUCUCAUUACAGGUGCUAGAAGGGUUACUAACUUCUGUCGGGGGUUCAUCAGAUUAAUUCCCAACCUGGGUAGUGGAUUCUGUCCACAUUGUCCAACUCCAUUUACUCCGAUGCCAUCUCACCAAACAGCAUUCUGGCUAUUCAGUUGGUUUCCCACAUGCCUUAAUAUGGGCAAAAGCUUCUAGACAGUGGACACUGGAAGGACUACUGCUUAACAUAAUUAUGCACGGGCAUUUUGGUUGAUCCAGCAUGGUUAGCAUGAGUCUGGGUCUGAAAGCCUGAUGAGCUAUGCACUCAGCAACCUUGUGUUUCUGCAUCCACAAAGCUAAGGGCCAGCCUCCUCUAAAGGGAUUUAUACCUUGAGAGGCCCUGCCUGAGUGGCCUACCUUCCUGCUCCCAACUCUGUUUUUUCUUUUUUCCCCCUAGAAUAUUCAGGAAGAACGAACUCAACUCUAUAAUUUGCACAGUUUCAGUGCCAGAUGAGGCUUUAUUCUGUUGUCCAUGCUGCCAGACUGGAAUGCAGUGGUAUGAUCAUAGCUCACUGCAGCCUCAACCUCCUGGGCUCAAGCAAUACUCCUGCCUCAGCCUCCUGAAUAGCUAGGACUAUGUGCAUGCACCACCACACCUGGCUAAUUUUUUUCCCCCCACUGUGGAGAUUGGGACUCGCUAAGUUGCCCAGGCUGGUCUCAAACUCCUGGACUCAAGCAAUCCUCCUGCUUCAGCCUCCCAAAGUGCUGGGAUUACAGGCAUGAGCCACCCCACCCAGCCCUGCUUUUUGAAGAAUGAAUGAUAGUCCAUUAUAUGUAUGUACCACAUUUUGGUUGUCCAUUCAUCCAUCAAUGGACACUUGGGUUGCUUCCACCUUUUGGCUAUUGUUAAUACUGCUGUGAACAUGGGUACACAACUACUUCAAGAUCCUGCUUUCAGUCCUUUUGGGUACAUACCCAGAAGUGGAAUUGCUAAAUCAUAUAGUAAUUCUAUUUUUAAUUUUUAGAGGAGUUGCCAUACCGUUUUCCAUAGCAGCUCCAUUUUAUGUUCCUACCAACAGUGUAAAAGAGUUUCAAUUUCUCCACAUCUUCAUCAACACUUCUUAUUUUCUGUUUUGAUAGUAGCCAUCCUAAUGGCUGAGGUGGUCAAAAUUUGCUUUUUACAAAUUAUGAAAAUGGGAUAAUAGCAAAUGCCUAGCACAGUGUCUAGAAGAUGGUAAAUGUUAAGUAUCAAAAAACUUUUGAUAAGAGGUAUUAAGUUAAAUAAGAGGUAUUAAGUUAAAAUCUUUGCUGUCAUAAAUGGGAAAUAUACGGCUACAUUGAAAUUUGCCAAAUCCCAAUAGUGUCUAUUAUAGAUUUCCCUCUAUGCAGGCACAUCACUAAGUUUUUACUAAGGCAUUAGCAAAUUACUGAUUAUGUAUUCACCUCCUAAAAGGAAUCUGCAGCCGAGCACAGUGGUGCACAUCUGUAAUCCCAGCUAUCCUGAAGGCUGAGGCAGGAGGCUUGCUUGAGCCCAGAAGUUUGAGGCAGUAGUGUACUAUGAUUAUGUCUGUGAAUAGCCCCCACACUCCAGCCUGGGCAACAUAGUGAGACCUAUCUAUAAAAUAAAAGAAUCUGCAAUAUAAAGGAGGCCCAGAAAAUGAAAAGCUUGAACCCAAAGAAAUAGGUCACUAUUAGUGACAUUCCAGGUGAGAUUGGAGAGGGCCCUAAAGUGAUGCCACUUAUCAGCUCAUGCCUCAGCUCCUAUUCCUCUGCUACAGGUGGCCCAUCCCCCAAGGGCACUGUGGCACAGAUGAGGUCCAAAGCAGGUUUGGUCUUUGCUAGAUCUCUAAAGGAAAUAUAAAGCCAAUUUGCUAGACAUUUACUCUUCCAAAUACAUAUCAGAGUGACUUUAGAAGUCAAAGAACCCAGAACUUUAAUAACCUUAAACAAACAAGCUCAUUCCAAUAAUUUAGCUUCCAGUCACAUAUGCAGACCCUAGGCAAAGACUUUUUUGUGGGAAAUGGGACAGGUGCUGUACUUUCAUUUCUUCCUUGCUGUGGAAAUAGACUCUUAAAAAAUGUAGAGAUGGGGUCUUGCUACAUUGUCCAGGCUGAUCUUAAACUCCUGGCCUCAAGCAAUCUUCCCACCUUGGCCUCCCUAAGUGCUGGGCUGACAGGCAUGAGCCACUAUGCCUUGCUAAGUGUUUAAUAGAAGAGUGUGAAUGGCAGAGGCAGAAGGUUUGGUGGAUCAUACAGCCUUACAGUCUCUUCAGAAACAUCACUGAUAUUUGCUGUUGAGUCAACCUAGCAACCAAUUCUUGUCCCAAAGAUAUGACACUGUUCAAAAGGCACCUCAGAGAUGCCAGUUUCAUCUCUUUUCAAUGCCCAAAACUAGAGCUUGAAAAGAUGGAUAUCUAUCAACAGACAUGAUUUGUAAUGUGUCUUUACUGUAUAUUUCAUAAAAUAUAAACACAUAAAACUUACAUAAGUAUAACAGAUAGUUGUAAACACCCUAUAAUUACUACCCAAGUCACAAAACAGAUCAAUAUUAGCAAUUCAGAAGUUUCAGAUAUAUAUAUAUAUAUAUAUAUAUAUCUCCUUACUGAUCACAAUUGCCUAGUUUUUUAAUUAUUGAGAUAUAAUUCACAUACCAUAAAAUUCAUCCUUUUAGAAUUUAUAAUUCAGUGCUUUCUAAUAUAUUCAAGAAGUUGUGCAGCCAUCGACACUACCUAAUUCUACAACAGUCCCAUCACCCUUCGGAAAGAAACCCAUGCCCUUUAGCAGUCAUUCCCAGCUCCUGGGAACCACUAAUCUCCUUUCUGUCUUUAUGGCUUUGCCUGUUCUAGACAGUUCAUAUAAAUGGAAUCAUAUAACAUGUGGCCUUCUGUGUCUGCCUUCUUUGACUUAGCAUGUUUUCUAGGUUCAUCCAUGUUGUAGCAUAAAUUAGUACUUCAUUCCAUUUAUGACUGAAUAAUACUCCAUUAUAUGGAUAUGUCAAAUUUUCCUCCCCUAUUCAAUUAAUGUACAUUUGAGUUUCCACAUGUUGACCAUUAUGAAUAAUGCUAUGAAUAUUUGUAUAUAAGUUUGUGUGUGGCCAGGUGCAAUGGCUCAUGCCUAUAAUCCUAGCACUUUGGGAGGCUGAGGCAGGUGGAUCACUUGAGGCUAGGAGUUCGAGACCAACCUGGCCAACAUGGCAAAAUUAAAAAUACAAAAGUUAGCUGGGCAUGGUGGUGCUUGCCUGUGGUCCCAGGUACUCAGAAGGCUGAGGCCGAGAUUGCACCACUGCACUCCAGCCUGGGUGAAAGAGCGAGACUGUCUAAAAAAAAAAGUUUGUGUGAAUAUAUGUUUUGAAUUCUGUUAGGUAUAUACAUAGGAAUGGAUUUGCUUGAGGACACAGUAACUAUACAUUUAACUUUGAGGAUCUGCCAAACUGUUUUCCAAAGUGGCUGCAGUUUUACAUUCACACCAGUAGUGUAUGACAGGUCGAAUCUUUUUACACCCUCACCAAUACUUGGUAUUGUCUAUCUUUUUUAUCAUAGCCAUCCUAGUGGGUGUGAAAUGGUAUUUCAUUGUAGUUUUGUGGUUUUUUUUUUCCCCUGAGACAGAGUCUCACUCUGUUGCCCAGGCUGGAGUGCAGUGGUACAAUCUCUGCUCACUGCAACCUCCACCUCCUAGGUUCAAGUGAUUCUCCCACCUCAGCCUCCUGAGUAGCUGGGACUACAGGAGUGUGCCACCACAUCCGGCUAAUUUUUGUAUUUUUUAGUAGAGACGGAGUUUCACCAUGUUGAUCAGGCUGGUUUGAACUCCUGACCUGAAAUGAUCUGCCCGCCUCAGCCUCCCAAAGUACUGGGAUUACAGGUGUAAGCCGCCACACCCGGCCAUUGUAGUUUUAAAUUUGCAUUUCCGUAAUGACUAAUGUGUUUACUGCCCAUUUGUAUAACUUCUUUGGAGAAGUGGCUAAUUAAAUCUAUUGCUAAUUUUUAAA
Molecule: long non-coding RNA, 4595 nt
Organism: Homo sapiens (human)
Lineage: Eukaryota; Metazoa; Chordata; Mammalia; Primates; Hominidae
Exons: 2
Source: RefSeq, a predicted model, not a curated record